This 612-nucleotide ribosomal RNA is filed under the name uncultured Oceanospirillaceae bacterium. RNAcentral describes it as "bacterial SSU rRNA". It matches the Rfam family "Bacterial small subunit ribosomal RNA", at positions 56 to 658 of the family's 1533-position model. The record is from RNAcentral. Lineage: Bacteria; Pseudomonadati; Pseudomonadota; Gammaproteobacteria; Oceanospirillales; Oceanospirillaceae.
UGCAGUCGAGCGGUAACAGGAAUUAGCUUGCUAAUUUGCUGACGAGCGGCGGACGGGUGAGUAACGCGUAGGAAUCUGCCUGGUAGUGGGGGACAACAUGUGGAAACGCAUGCUAAUACCGCAUACGCCCUACGGGGGAAAGGAGGGGAUCUUCGGACCUUUCGCUAUCAGAUGAGCCUGCGUGAGAUUAGCUAGUUGGUGGGGUAAAGGCUCACCAAGGCGACGAUCUCUAGCUGGUCUGAGAGGAUGAUCAGCCACACUGGGACUGAGACACGGCCCAGACUCCUACGGGAGGCAGCAGUGGGGAAUAUUGGACAAUGGGCGCAAGCCUGAUCCAGCCAUGCCGCGUGUGUGAAGAAGGCCUUCGGGUUGUAAAGCACUUUCAGAGGUGAGGAAGGGUGUGCCGUUAAUACCGGUAUGCUUUGACGUUAGCCUCAGAAGAAGCACCGGCUAACCCUGUGCCAGCAGCCGCGGUAAUACAGAGGGUGCGAGCGUUAAUCGGAAUUACUGGGCGUAAAGCGCGCGUAGGUGGUUUGUUAAGUCGGAUGUGAAAGCCCAGGGCUCAACCUUGGAAUUGCACCCGAUACUGGCAAGCUAGAGUACGGUAGAGGG